Molecule: ribosomal RNA, 447 nt
Filed under: uncultured bacterium
Lineage: Bacteria
Description: partial 16S ribosomal RNA
Rfam family: Bacterial small subunit ribosomal RNA
Source: RNAcentral
AACGAACGCUGGCGGCAGGCUUAACACAUGCAAGUCGAACGCCCCGCAAGGGGAGUGGCAGACGGGUGAGUAACACGUGGGAACAUGCCCAAAGGUACGGAAUAUUCUCGGGAAACUGGGAGCAAUACCGUAUGUGCCCGAAAGGGGAAAGAUUUAUCGCCUUUGGAUUGGCCCGCGUUGGAUUAGCUAGUUGGUGGGGUAAAAGCCUACCAAGGCGACGAUCCAUAGCUGGUCUGAGAGGACGACCAGCCACACUGGGACUGAGACACGGCCCAGACUCCUACGGGAGGCUGCAGUGGGGAAUCUUGGACAAUGGGCGCAAGCCUGAUCCAGCCAUGCCGCGUGAGUGAUGAAGGCCCUAGGGUUGUAAAACUCUUUCGUGGGGGACGAUAAUGACGGUACCCCAAGAAGAAGCUCCGGCUAACUACGUGCCAGCCGCCGCGGUAA